CCAAUUAGAAUAUCAUGAAAUAGCUCCCUCCCGGUUAAAAACUGGAUCCAAAUGAGCAGGGAGGUGCUCGCGCUAUCUAUAGUGGAAGGGGGAUGUACAUUGUUUGGAGUUAAAAAAGGAGGAAAAGGAAAAAAGGAAGGGAUUGAAUCCAAAGAAUAAAAGAAUGAAAAAAUGACCCUUCUGGACAUAUUUACAGGAGCUAAGGGCUCCAUGGCUAGCCCAUAACAGCUAGCAGAAGAGCGAGAGAUUGAUGGAGCACCAAGCAAUGGAAAAUAG
Molecule: long non-coding RNA, 276 nt
Filed under: Olea europaea (common olive)
Lineage: Eukaryota; Viridiplantae; Streptophyta; Magnoliopsida; Lamiales; Oleaceae
Description: long non-coding RNA (OEUR_LNC001297)
Source: RNAcentral